CCCUUAGAUGUUCUGGGCCGCACGAGCGCUACACUGACGAAUGCAACGAGCUUAUAACCUUGGCCGAAAGGUCUGGGUAAUCUCCAAAUUUCGUCGUGAUGGGGAUAGAUUAUUGCAAUUAUUAAUCUUCAACGAGGAAUGCCUAGUAAGCGCAAGUCAUCAGCUUGCGUUGAUUACGUCCCUGCCCUUUGUACACACCGCCCGUCGCUCCUACCGAUUGAAUGGUCCGGUGAAGCGUUCGGACCGUGGCCUUUGGACGGUUCGCCGUCUGUUGGCUGCGGGAAGUUCGUUAAACCUUAUCAUUUAGAGGAAGGAGAAGUCGUANCA
This 327-nucleotide ribosomal RNA is filed under the name uncultured eukaryote. RNAcentral's name for it is "partial 18S ribosomal RNA". It matches the Rfam family "Eukaryotic small subunit ribosomal RNA", at positions 1470 to 1796 of the family's 1831-position model. The record is from RNAcentral.